UGCCUACGGGACGCAGCAGUGGGGAAUAUUGCACAAUGGGGGAAACCCUGAUGCAGCGACGCCGCGUGAGCGAUGAAGUAUUUCGGUAUGUAAAGCUCUAUCAGCAGGGAAGAAAAUGACGGUACCUGACUAAGAAGCCCCGGCUAACUACGUGCCAGCAGCCGCGGUAAUACGUAGGGGGCAAGCGUUAUCCGGAUUUACUGGGUGUAAAGGGAGCGUAGACGGCUUGGCAAGCCAGAUGUGAAAGGCGGGGGCUCAACCCCCGGGCUGCUCUGGAAACUGCCAGGCUGGAGUGCAGGAGAGGG
Molecule: ribosomal RNA, 305 nt
Filed under: uncultured bacterium
Lineage: Bacteria
Description: bacterial SSU rRNA
Rfam family: Bacterial small subunit ribosomal RNA
Source: RNAcentral